GUUCUGUCUCACUGCGUCUGCCGGUCUUCAGUAGAUCUGGCACAUUUCUCAUUCUUUGGAGAGAGAAGCAGCAGCAGGAAGGGGCAGCAUUUUUGUCAGCAUUUUCAUCAGAGCUGAAGUCCUGCCGACUGGAAGGAUGUGGCUUUACCCGAGGGAUUGGCGGCUUACAGUGAUAGUGAAUUCGCACUGCUGUCUUCACCAAGAGGUCCUUUGUGAGGAGCCCAGCCCUGUCCCUUCAGUCGCUGCCCUGUGGGUGACAUGCUGACACAAGGAUUGUUGGUCUCACCACAUUCUGGAGCAGUCUUUUGCAGUGAGUGUUUUCAAGAUGCCCUGUCAUCUUUUCCUCUGUGUGCUGGCUUUCUCAGAAAUAUUACUCUCACUGUGUUCUGGGGCCAUUUCUGUUUUUUUAGGGCAGACGUUAGUUGUUUUUCUGUCCAUUUUUCUGUGCAAUUUCUGGGGGAUUUCUGUGUUUCUUAGUGCGAAUUUUUAGGCAUUUUCCUGGGUUGUUAAGGCCGAAUUUAUGCUGGGUUUUUUCCUGAUGUUUUUCCCAAUAAUGCUUGGAAUUUUGACU
Long non-coding RNA from Ficedula albicollis (Collared flycatcher), 571 nucleotides. RefSeq lists it as uncharacterized. Lineage: Eukaryota; Metazoa; Chordata; Aves; Passeriformes; Muscicapidae. The record is from RefSeq and is a predicted model, not a curated record. The transcript is spliced from 2 exons.